GUUUUGGAUUUAUGGGGCUUUAUUCAUAAAAAAAAGGGGGAUUUUCAACACUUCGGACAAUAACUCAAAAAGGCUUUCACCAAUGUCCAUGAAACUUUGGUGAAUUGUUUAUAUCUAUUGAUGAAAGCUCCCUUUCAAUUCUUAUAAAUUUCAGAUUUUAAGUUUUGGAUUUAUGGGGCUUUAUUCAUAAAAAAAGGGGGAUUUUCAACACUUCGGACAAUAACUCAAAAAGGCUUUCACCAAUGUCCAUGAAACUUUGGUGAAUUGUUUAUAUCUAUUGAUGUAAGCUCCCUUUCAAUUUUUAUAAAUUUCAGAUUUUACAUUUCCGUGUUAUGAAUUUUUAUGCUUAAAAAAGGGGGG
RNAcentral lists this long non-coding RNA (360 nucleotides) under Mytilus galloprovincialis (Mediterranean mussel). Lineage: Eukaryota; Metazoa; Mollusca; Bivalvia; Mytilida; Mytilidae. The record is from RNAcentral.